Molecule: ribosomal RNA, 450 nt
Filed under: uncultured bacterium
Lineage: Bacteria
Description: bacterial SSU rRNA
Rfam family: Bacterial small subunit ribosomal RNA
Source: RNAcentral
CACCAGACUCCUACGGGAGGCAGCAGUGGGGAAUAUUGGGCAAUGGGCGCAAGCCUGACCCAGCAACGCCGCGUGAAGGAAGAAGGCUUUCGGGUUGUAAACUUCUUUUGACAGGGAAGAGCAGAAGACGGUACCUGUCGAAUAAGCCACGGCUAACUACGUGCCAGCAGCCGCGGUAAUACGUAGGUGGCAAGCGUUGUCCGGAUUUACUGGGUGUAAAGGGCGUGCAGCCGGGCUGACAAGUCAGAUGUGAAAUCCCGCGGCUCAACCGCGGAACUGCAUUUGAAACUGUCAGUCUUGAGUACCGGAGAGGUCAUCGGAAUUCCUUGUGUAGCGGUGAAAUGCGUAGAUAUCAGGAGGAACACCAGUGGCGAAGGCGGCUUGCUGGACGAUGACUGACGUUGAGGCUCGAAAGCGUGGGGAGCAAACAGGAUUAGAUACCCGCGUACU